AACCCCUCAAGCUCUGCUUGGUGUUGGGCGCUUGUCCCGCCGUCGGUGUGGACUCGCCUUGAAUCCAUUGGCGGCCUUCGUUUUGGGCUAUCGAGCGCAGCAGAGUCGCGUCUCGUGCCCGCCGCGUCGGCGUCCAGGAAGCACAAUCACA
This 151-nucleotide unclassified non-coding RNA is filed under the name uncultured Ascomycota. Its description in RNAcentral is "sequence contains ITS2". The record is from RNAcentral. Lineage: Eukaryota; Fungi; Ascomycota.